Molecule: ribosomal RNA, 483 nt
Filed under: uncultured Desulfobulbus sp.
Lineage: Bacteria; Pseudomonadati; Thermodesulfobacteriota; Desulfobulbia; Desulfobulbales; Desulfobulbaceae
Description: bacterial SSU rRNA
Rfam family: Bacterial small subunit ribosomal RNA
Source: RNAcentral
UAAAGGAAUUGACGGGGCCCGCACAGCGGUGGAGUAUGUGGUUAAUUCGAUGCAACGCGAAGAACCUUACCUGGUCUUGACAUCCCGGAGACCCUUAGGAAACUAGGGGGUGCUUCCAUCUGGAAGAAUCUGGAGACAGGUGCUGCAUGGCUGUCGUCAGCUCGUGUCGUGAGAUGUUGGGUUAAGUCCCGCAACGAGCGCAACCCUUGCCUUUAGUUGCCAGCAGUUCGGCUGGGCACUCUAAAGGGACUGCCGGUGUUAAACCGGAGGAAGGUGGGGAUGACGUCAAGUCCUCAUGGCCUUUAUGACCAGGGCUACACACGUACUACAAUGGCCGAUACAAAGGGCAGCGACACUGCGAGGUGAAGCCAAUCCCGUAAAAUCGGUCUCAGUCCGGAUUGGAGUCUGCAACUCGACUCCAUGAAGUUGGAAUCGCUAGUAAUCGUGGAUCAGCAUGCCACGGUGAAUACGUUCCCGGGCCUU